UGCCAGCCGCCGCGGUAAUACGGAGGGUGCAAGCGUUGUUCGGAAUUAUUGGGCGUAAAGGGCACGUAGGCGGACUAUUAAGUCAGGGGUGAAAUCCCGGGGCUCAACCCCGGAAGUGCACUUGAAACAGCAAGACUUGAAUACGGUAGAGGAGAGAGGAAUUCCUGGUGUAGAGGUGAAAUUCGUAGAUAUCAGGAGGAACACCGAUGGCGAAGGCAUCUCUCUGGGCCGAUAUUGACGCUGAGGCGCGAAGGCGUGGGUAGCGAACGGGAUUAGAUA
This 279-nucleotide ribosomal RNA is filed under the name uncultured bacterium. Its description in RNAcentral is "partial 16S ribosomal RNA". It matches the Rfam family "Bacterial small subunit ribosomal RNA", at positions 506 to 784 of the family's 1533-position model. The record is from RNAcentral.